Ictidomys tridecemlineatus (thirteen-lined ground squirrel) is the source of this 870-nucleotide non-coding RNA. The record is from RefSeq and is a predicted model, not a curated record. NCBI's taxonomy places the organism in Eukaryota, Metazoa, Chordata, Mammalia, Rodentia, Sciuridae.
AAGGGAGCCCUCUCCUUCUGCUCUGCUUCGGCUCUGUGGCAGUUCAAACAGCAGCUUUUGGGCCAGGGAGGCUGUCUCUGGCUUCCUGGGACUCUGACUGCCAACUCAGGACCUCACCACGGGUGCUGACAUUCGACUGAGGGGUGGCAAUCUGCCCGGAGACACUUAGGUGGUCCUGCAGAAGAUCGGCCUUGGGAAUUGGCAGCCUUUCCAUUUGUGGAUUCAUUCCAGCCAUGAACUCGCCAAAGGGCCAUCCAUUCUGCUGAGACCUUUUAUUUCUCAUGAAUGUCCCAGGCAUAGGUCUUAAGUAUGACAGGGCUCAGCUGCGGAGGGGCAGUAUUGGCGGUAGAUCCGCAGCUUCAAGACUGAGUGAGUCCUUAGUGUAGCAGGAGCUGAGCUCAAAGAUAGGACUUUAUUAGACUCCCCCAGCCAUGCUUGGGCUCCAUCCUGGGCUCUUCCUGCAGAGGGGGAGCUCUGGCUCUCCCACUCAAACACAGGUCCUGCAGAGCCUGGUGCAGCUCAAUUUGCAUUCAGUCCGCUGGGUCUUAAGUAGAGAGACCAAGGGCCAUGUCUGAAGAAACUGCUGGCUUCUGGCAGCUGAAGAGAGAGUCCAGAUGUGAAGAUGGAACUCCAAGAAAAGGCCAAGGCAAGCACAGAAAGCAAGUUUUACUUAAGGAUGAGAACAGACGUCUCCCAGGAGGAAGAUACCCAGGGUUGGUAUCCCAGGGAGUGGGGGGUCCUGCCCCUUUUAUAUACUUCAGAAUUUCUUUGUUCUCGUGGCCUCUCCCCACCAUCCUGCAUACAUGGCCAGUGACCAAAGUGAUGGGCCAAGGUCAUGAAUGAAGCCAUCCUCCAGGGGUCCAGGCUGGA